AUUGAACCCUGGCGGCAGGCCUAACACAUGCAAGUCGAGCGAGCGGCGGACGGGUGAGUAAUGUAUGGGGACCGCCCGAUAGUGGUGGAUAACUACUGGAAACGGUAGCUCAUACCGCAUACUAUCGGAUAACCUAUAUGGGAUUAGCUAGUAGGUGAGGUGAUGGCUCACCUAGGCGACGAUCCCUAGCUGGUCUGAGAGGAUGAUCAGCCACACUGGGACGGAGACACGGCCCAAAGUCCUACGGAGGCAGCAGGGGGGAAGGUGGCACAAUGGGCGCAAGCCUGAUACAGCCAUGCCGCGUGUAUGAAGAAGGCCCGAGGGUUGUAAAGUACUUUCAGUCGGGAGGCGGUACCGGCAGAAGAAGCACCGGCUAACUCCGUGCCAGCAGCCGCGGUAAUAC
RNAcentral lists this ribosomal RNA (403 nucleotides) under uncultured bacterium. Its description in RNAcentral is "partial 16S ribosomal RNA". It matches the Rfam family "Bacterial small subunit ribosomal RNA", at positions 30 to 526 of the family's 1533-position model. The record is from RNAcentral.